RNAcentral lists this ribosomal RNA (458 nucleotides) under uncultured bacterium. RNAcentral's name for it is "partial 16S ribosomal RNA". It matches the Rfam family "Bacterial small subunit ribosomal RNA", at positions 338 to 795 of the family's 1533-position model. The record is from RNAcentral.
CCUACGGGAGGCAGCAGUAGGGAAUAUUGCUCAAUGGGGGAAACCCUGAAGCAGCAACGCCGCGUGGAGGAUGAAGGUUUUAGGAUUGUAAACUCCUUUUGUUAGGGAGCAAAGGGCGCCACGUGUGGCGUUUUGCGAGUACCUGAAGAAAAAGCAUCGGCUAACUCCGUGCCAGCAGCCGCGGUAAUACGGAGGAUGCGAGCGUUAUCCGGAUUUAUUGGGUUUAAAGGGUGCGCAGGCGGAAUGUCAAGUCAGCGGUAAAAUUUCGGGGCUCAACCCCGUCGUGCCGUUGAAACUGGCGUUCUUGAGUGAGCGAGAAGUAUGCGGAAUGCGUGGUGUAGCGGUGAAAUGCAUAGAUAUCACGCAGAACUCCGAUUGCGAAGGCAGCAUACCGGCGCUCAACUGACGCUCAUGCACGAAAGCGUGGGUAUCGAACAGGAUUAGAUACCCGAGUAGUC